UGUUUCGGCUAGGGGGUCAUCCCGACUUACCAACCCGAUGCAAACUACGAAUACCGAAGAAUGUUAUCACGGGAGACACACGGCGGGUGCUAACGUCCGUCGUGAAGAGGGAAACAACCCAGACCGCCAGCUAAGGUCCCAAAGUCACAGUUAAGUGGGAAACGAUGUGGGAAGGCACAGACAGCCAGGAUGUUGGCUUAGAAGCAGCCAUCAUUUAAAGAAAGCGUAAUAGCUCACUGGUCGAGUCGGCCUGCGCGGAAGAUGUAACGGGGCUAAACUGUGCACCGAAGCUGCGGCAGCGACACUUAGGUGUUGUUGGGUAGGGGAGCGUUCUGUAAGCCUGCGAAGGUGGCCUGUGAGGGUUGCUGGAGGUAUCAGAAGUGCGAAUGCUGACAUAAGUAACGAUAAUGCGGGUGAAAAGCCCGCACGCCGGAAGACCAAGGGUUCCUGUCCAACGUUAAUCGGGGCAGGGUGAGUCGACCCCUAAGGCGAGGCCGAAAGGCGUAGUCGAUGGGAAACAGGUUAAUAUUCCUGUACUUGGUGUUACUGCGAAGGGGGGACGGAGAAGGCUAUGUUAGCCGGGCGACGGUUGUCCCGGUUUAAGCAUGUAGGCGGAGGU
RNAcentral lists this ribosomal RNA (619 nucleotides) under Klebsiella aerogenes. RNAcentral describes it as "partial 23S ribosomal RNA". It matches the Rfam family "Bacterial large subunit ribosomal RNA", at positions 911 to 1531 of the family's 2925-position model. Lineage: Bacteria; Pseudomonadati; Pseudomonadota; Gammaproteobacteria; Enterobacterales; Enterobacteriaceae. The record is from RNAcentral.